GCCGCGGUGGCGGAAUGGUAUACGCAGCGGACUUAAAAUCCGCGGGCCUUAAAAGCCAUGAGAGUUCGAGUCUCUCCCGCGGCA
This 84-nucleotide transfer RNA is filed under the name Candidatus Moraniibacteriota bacterium. RNAcentral describes it as "Candidatus Moranbacteria bacterium tRNA-Leu". It matches the Rfam family "tRNA". From Rfam's summary of the family: Transfer RNA (tRNA) molecules are approximately 80 nucleotides in length. Their secondary structure includes four short double-helical elements and three loops (D, anti-codon, and T loops). Lineage: Bacteria; Candidatus Moraniibacteriota. The record is from RNAcentral.